GUGCUCUGUAUGGCAGCAUGUAGGUUACAAAUUGGAAUGACACAGAGAGUAGCAUUGCCAUUGCCCAAGGAUGACGUACAAAUUCAUGAAACAUUCCAUAUCCAA
Molecule: small nuclear RNA, 105 nt
Organism: Apodemus sylvaticus (European woodmouse)
Lineage: Eukaryota; Metazoa; Chordata; Mammalia; Rodentia; Muridae
Source: RefSeq, a predicted model, not a curated record